UCCUUGGUGGUCAAGUGGUUAAGACUCUGCACUCUCGAUGCAGGGGACCUGGAUUCAAUCCCUGGUCAGGGAA
Ovis aries (sheep) is the source of this 73-nucleotide transfer RNA. It matches the Rfam family "tRNA". From Rfam's summary of the family: Transfer RNA (tRNA) molecules are approximately 80 nucleotides in length. Their secondary structure includes four short double-helical elements and three loops (D, anti-codon, and T loops). The record is from Rfam. Lineage: Eukaryota; Metazoa; Chordata; Mammalia; Artiodactyla; Bovidae.